GACGAACGCUGGCGGCGUGCCUAACACAUGCAAGUCGAACGGGGAGUUAUUUAUAACUCCUAGUGGCGAACGGGUGAGUAACGCGUAGACAACCUGCCUCUAAAUUGGGGACAACACCGCGAAAGUGGUGCUAAUACCGAAUGUGGUAACUUGGUCGCAUGGCUAGGUUAAGAAAGAUGGCCUCUAUAUAUAAGCUAUCGAUUAGAGAUGGGUCUGCGUCUGAUUAGCUAGUUGGUGAGGUAAUGGCUCACCAAGGCGACGAUCAGUAGCCGGUCUGAGAGGAUGAACGGCCACACUGGGACUGAGACACGGCCCAGACUCCUACGGGAGGUAGCAGUGGGGAAUCUUCCGCAAUGGACGAAAGUCUGACGGAGCAGCGCCGCGUGAGUGAAGAAGGUCUUCGGAUUGUAAAGCUCUGUCGUUUGGGACGAACGUGGAUUGUGUGAAUAAUGCAGUCUAAUGACGGUACCAAAGGAGGAAGCCACGGCUAACUACGUGCCAGCCGCCGCCGUAA
RNAcentral lists this ribosomal RNA (514 nucleotides) under uncultured bacterium. Its description in RNAcentral is "partial 16S ribosomal RNA". It matches the Rfam family "Bacterial small subunit ribosomal RNA", at positions 28 to 523 of the family's 1533-position model. The record is from RNAcentral.